AGGGGAGGGCCGUGGGGUGGAGGAGGUGGCAGUGGCCGCUGUGUGCCGGGUCAGAGGAGGGCCGCAGGCGAAGGUAAGGAGGAGGCGGCGUUGGAGUCGGUCGGGUGAGGAGAAAAAACAAAAAAACGGUUCGGGGUGGGCUGAAAGAUUCUCCUGCGGGGUGGAAUUUCAGCCUCAACAGAUAAUAGCUAAGCGCACAUGGUUAGCAACUAAUUCAUGUUUAGUGAGUC
Molecule: long non-coding RNA, 230 nt
Filed under: Brachypodium distachyon (stiff brome)
Lineage: Eukaryota; Viridiplantae; Streptophyta; Magnoliopsida; Poales; Poaceae
Description: long non-coding RNA (BDIS_LNC002902)
Source: RNAcentral